GAGUUUGAUCAUGGUUCAGAAUCAACGCUGGCGGCGUGCCUAACACAUGCAAGUCGAACGAGAAAGUGGAGCAAUCCAUGAGUAAAGUGGCGCACGGGUGAGUAACACGUGACUAACCUACCUUUUAGUGGGGGAUAACCUAGGGAAACCUGGGCUAAUACCGCAUAAUGCCUACGGGUCAAAGCAGCAACGCGCUGAAAGAGGGGGUCGCGGCCGAUUAGCUAGUUGGCGGGGUAAUGGCCCACCAAGGCAGUGAUCGGUAUCCGGCCUGAGAGGGCGCACGGACACACUGGAACUGAAACACGGUCCAGACUCCUACGGGAGGCAGCAGUGGGGAAUUUUGCGCAAUGGGGGAAACCCUGACGCAGCAACGCCGCGUGGAGGAUGAAGUCCCUUGGGACGUAAACUCCUUUCGAUCGGGACGAUAAUGACGGUACCGGAAGAAGAAGCCCCGGCUAACUUCGUGCCAGCAGCCGCGGUAAUACGAGGGGGGCAAGCGUUGUUCGGAAUUAUUGGGCGUAAAGGGUGCGUAGGUGGUUCGGCAAGUCUUGUGUGAAAUCUUCAGGCUCAACUUGAAGUCUGCACAAGAAACUGCCGGGCUUGAGUAUGG
Molecule: ribosomal RNA, 610 nt
Filed under: uncultured Acidobacteriaceae bacterium
Lineage: Bacteria; Pseudomonadati; Acidobacteriota; Terriglobia; Terriglobales; Acidobacteriaceae
Description: bacterial SSU rRNA
Rfam family: Bacterial small subunit ribosomal RNA
Source: RNAcentral